UAUGGGAGUCUGCCCGAUAGAGGGGGAGUAACUACUGGAAACGGUAGCUAAUACCGCAUAAUGUCGCAAGACCAAAGUGGGGGACCUUCGGGCCUCAUGCCAUCAGAUGUGCCCAGAUGGGAUUAGCUAGUAGGUGGGGUAACGGCUCACCUAGGCGACGAUCUCUAGCUGGUCUGAGAGGAUGAUCAGCCACACUGGGACUGAGACACGGCCCAG
RNAcentral lists this ribosomal RNA (216 nucleotides) under uncultured bacterium. RNAcentral's name for it is "partial 16S ribosomal RNA". It matches the Rfam family "Bacterial small subunit ribosomal RNA", at positions 116 to 334 of the family's 1533-position model. The record is from RNAcentral.